CACGUAGGGACCAAGCGUUGUCCGGAUUCAUUGGGCGUAAAGAGCUCGUAGGCGGUUCGAUAAGUCGGGUGUGAAACCUCCAGGCUCAACCUGGAGACGCCACCCGAUACUGUCGUGACUAGAGUCCAGUAGGGGAGCGUGGAAUUCCUGGUGUAGCGGUGAAAUGCGCAGAUAUCAGGAGGAACACCGAUGGCGAAGGCAGGUCUCUGGGCAUUAACUGACGCUGAGGAGCGAAAGCAUGGGGAGCGAACAGG
This 254-nucleotide ribosomal RNA is filed under the name uncultured bacterium. RNAcentral describes it as "partial 16S ribosomal RNA". It matches the Rfam family "Bacterial small subunit ribosomal RNA", at positions 524 to 776 of the family's 1533-position model. The record is from RNAcentral.